CAGUAGCCGCGGUAAUACAGAGGGUGCGAGCGUUAAUCGGAUUUACUGGGCGUAAAGCGUGCGUAGGCGGCUUCUUAAGUCGGAUGUGAAAUCCCUGAGCUUAACUUAGGAAUUGCAUUCGAUACUGGGAAGCUAGAGUAUGGGAGAGGAUGGUAGAAUUCCAGGUGUAGCGGUGAAAUGCGUAGAGAUCUGGAGGAAUACCGAUGGCGAAGGCAGCCAUCUGGCCUAAUACUGACGCUGAGGUACGAAAGCAUGGGGAGCAAACAGGAUUAGAUAUCCCGGUAGUCCCUGUCUCUUAUAC
RNAcentral lists this ribosomal RNA (301 nucleotides) under uncultured bacterium. Its description in RNAcentral is "partial 16S ribosomal RNA". It matches the Rfam family "Bacterial small subunit ribosomal RNA", at positions 509 to 807 of the family's 1533-position model. The record is from RNAcentral.